RNAcentral lists this ribosomal RNA (142 nucleotides) under Salmonella enterica. RNAcentral describes it as "partial 23S ribosomal RNA". It matches the Rfam family "Bacterial large subunit ribosomal RNA", at positions 2801 to 2925 of the family's 2925-position model. Lineage: Bacteria; Pseudomonadati; Pseudomonadota; Gammaproteobacteria; Enterobacterales; Enterobacteriaceae. The record is from RNAcentral. RNAcentral also lists the same sequence under 2 other names.
GAGAUGAGUUCUCCCUGAGACUACAAGUCUCCUGAAGGAACGUUGAAGACGACGACGUUGAUAGGCCGGGUGUGUAAGCGCAGCGAUGCGUUGAGCUAACCGGUACUAAUGAACCGUGAGGCUUAACCUUACAACGCCGAAG